This 477-nucleotide ribosomal RNA is filed under the name uncultured bacterium. RNAcentral's name for it is "partial 16S ribosomal RNA". It matches the Rfam family "Bacterial small subunit ribosomal RNA", at positions 28 to 507 of the family's 1533-position model. The record is from RNAcentral.
GAUGAACGCUGGCGGCGUGCCUAACACAUGCAAGUCGAACGAAGCACCUUACCUGAUUCUUCGGAUGAAAGUUUGGUGACUGAGUGGCGGACGGGUGAGUAACGCGUGGGUAACCUGCCCUGUACAGGGGGAUAACAGCUGGAAACGGCUGCUAAUACCGCAUACGCGCACGAGGAGACAUCUCCUUGUGUGAAAAACUCCGGUGGUACAGGAUGGGCCCGCGUCUGAUUAGCUGGUUGGCAGGGUAACGGCCUACCAAGGCAACGAUCAGUAGCCGGUCUGAGAGGAUGAACGGCCACAUUGGAACUGAGACACGGUCCAAACUCCUACGGGAGGCAGCAGUGGGGAAUAUUGCACAAUGGGGGAAACCCUGAUGCAGCAACGCCGCGUGAGUGAAGAAGUAUUUCGGUAUGUAAAGCUCUAUCAGCAGGGAAGAUAAUGACGGUACCUGACUAAGAAGCUCCGGCUAAAUACGUG